CAUCCAUCGGACUGUGCGUGUGCCCAGUCCGCAUCGGGCUCUCUCGCCUCCCCCGUACGGGCGGAGGCGGAGCCUCAGAGUAGAUCGUGCGGAGUUUGCGACGACUCAACUCUUGGACCUAAACAGUCUGGGUUGGCCUGUCUGCGGGCCGUACGGAUCGCGGCGCCAGUGCUCUCUGUUCCGCCUGGUGUGCCGGCUAUUUCUACUU
Molecule: unclassified non-coding RNA, 208 nt
Filed under: Gaetanus minor
Lineage: Eukaryota; Metazoa; Arthropoda; Copepoda; Calanoida; Aetideidae
Description: partial ITS2
Source: RNAcentral